This 68-nucleotide transfer RNA is filed under the name Heteropsilopus ingenuus. Its description in RNAcentral is "tRNA-Asn". The record is from RNAcentral. Lineage: Eukaryota; Metazoa; Arthropoda; Insecta; Diptera; Dolichopodidae.
UUAAUUGAAGCCAAAAAAGAGGCAUAUUACUGUUAUAUGAAAGCAUUAGAUUUUAAAUCUCAAUUAAG